UUGGAAAAAUUAUUAUUUCUAAUGCAAUUGUCAAAUCUCUAAUUUCAAUAAAAUUUAUUUUGGCCUUACAAGGCGAAUUUUCGUCGAUUCUCUUUAAUCCGCUUUUUACAAGCCAUUUUUUCCCACAAUGUGGUAUGCGUGCUUAAACGUAUACAACACACACGUGCUUUUGGAAUGCGUGAGAGUAGGGUCACAGCUGUCGACUCGUGUGCCUGCGGUUGCCAGCGUGCCUACGUAUGUCAAAUACCGCAGACGAACAUCCGGCUUCUUAUGACGAUUGAGAAUUGAAGGUAGAAGCAAAGGGCGGGAAGUAAGGGCGGUAUUUAAGAAGAAGGGAAUAGACCUGAGGGGCAUGUGUGCGGCCCGAAAGAAGGGUCCGUUGUGCGGGCGAGGCAAAGGGGAGGUAGAAGGAGGAGAAGGUUGAGAAGCAGCUGCCAAGCGGCAAAACGAAAAACAGGAAUGAAGCAGCUGGCCGCCCCGCGCGAGGAGCAGGUGCACCAAGCACGCAUCCCCCUUUCUUCUUCCUGCCGUAAAUACUAAAUGGUAGCGGCAGCCGUUAUCUACAUGGACGCGCAUUGUCUGCGUGCAUGCGAAUAUACAGCAGACCUUUCAGCGUGUGCGUGCGAUGCUUGUGCAUAUGCUCGUGGCCACCACGAAAUUGAUCUUGAUUGAACGAGAUAUGAGGCUGGUGCGUUCCUUGGUCGCUGCAAUGUCGAGCCUGAUGGUACCGAGGGUGGCUUCUAUCAUGGUGAUUCUUCC
Molecule: non-coding RNA, 759 nt
Organism: Linepithema humile (Argentine ant)
Lineage: Eukaryota; Metazoa; Arthropoda; Insecta; Hymenoptera; Formicidae
Source: RefSeq, a predicted model, not a curated record